AUAUCCAUGUUGUGGGCAUCUCCUCACUAAAUCCUUAUAUCUCUCCCAACAUUCAAAGAGUUGUUCAUCGGGCUGUUGAGAGAAAGCUACAAUCUCAAAUCUCAAUUU
Benincasa hispida (wax gourd) is the source of this 108-nucleotide small nucleolar RNA. The record is from RefSeq and is a predicted model, not a curated record. Lineage: Eukaryota; Viridiplantae; Streptophyta; Magnoliopsida; Cucurbitales; Cucurbitaceae.